Non-coding RNA from Podarcis muralis (Common wall lizard), 421 nucleotides. The record is from the annotation of a RefSeq genome assembly. Lineage: Eukaryota; Metazoa; Chordata; Lepidosauria; Squamata; Lacertidae.
CCCUUGUAGCUCCAGUCCUUCUAAGGAGAAUUUCUCUGGAAACCAUCUAAUAAAAAUGAUUACUUGGAUCCAUCUCCUCUUAACUCUUUCAGCUUUCAAAGGUGUUUUGUCAGACAUUUCUCUGGUAGAAAAUGGAGGAGACCUGAAAAGGCCUGGAGAUUCUCUUCGGCUUAUGUGUACAACAUCAGGCUUCAGUAUAGCCAGCUACUGGAUGAGCUGGGUCCGUCAGGCUCCAGGAAAGGGGCUCGAGUGGGUGUCCAGGGUUUCAGGAAGUACCACAUAUUAUGCAGAUUCUGUUAAAGGCCGAUUCACAACUUCCAUGGAUAUGUCCAAUCAGUGGAUUGAUCUGCGUAUGACAGGCCUGAAAGCUGAAGACACUGGAAUGUAUUACUGUGCGAGAGAUCACAGUGGUGCAGAGUGA